RNAcentral lists this ribosomal RNA (484 nucleotides) under uncultured bacterium. RNAcentral describes it as "partial 16S ribosomal RNA". It matches the Rfam family "Bacterial small subunit ribosomal RNA", at positions 30 to 507 of the family's 1533-position model. The record is from RNAcentral.
AUUGAACGCUGGCGGCAGGCCUAACACAUGCAAGUCGAGCGGAUGAAGGGAGCUUGCUCCUGGAUUCAGCGGCGGACGGGUGAGUAAUGCCUAGGAAUCUGCCUCGUAGUGGGGGAUAACGUCCGGAAACGGGCGCUAAUACCGCAUACGUCCUGAGGGAGAAAGUGGGGGAUCUUCGGACCUCACGCUAUCAGAUGAGCCUAGGUCGGAUUAGCUAGUUGGUGGGGUAAAGGCCUACCAAGGCGACGAUCCGUAACUGGUCUGAGAGGAUGAUCAGUCACACUGGAACUGAGACACGGUCCAGACUCCUACGGGAGGCAGCAGUGGGGAAUAUUGGACAAUGGGGGAAAGCCUGAUCCAGCCAUGCCGCGUGUGUGAAGAAGGUCUUCGGAUUGUAAAGCACUUUAAGUUGGGAGGAAGGGCAGUAAGUUAAUACCUUGCUGUUUUGACGUUACCAACAGAAUAAGCACCGGCUAACUUCGUG